GACGAACGCUGGCGGCGUGCUUAACACAUGCAAGUCGAACGGUGAUGCUCCAGCUUGCUGGAGUGGAUCAGUGGCGAACGGGUGAGUAACACGUGAGCAACCUGCCCCAGACUCUGGAAUAAGCGCUGGAAACGGCGUCUAAUACUGGAUACGAAACUGGCCCGCAUGGGCAUGGUUUGGAAAGUUUUUCGGUUUGGGAUGGGCUCGCGGCCUAUCAGCUUGUUGGUGAGGUAAUGGCUCACCAAGGCGACGACGGGUAGCCGGACUGAGAGGGCGACCGGCCACACUGGGACUGAGACACGGCCCAGACUCCUACGGGAGGCAGCAGUGGGGAAUAUUGCACAAUGGGCGAAAGCCUGAUGCAGCGACGCCGCGUGAGGGAUGACGGCCUUCGGGUUGUAAACCUCUUUCAGCAGGGAAGAAGCGAAAGUGACGGUACCUGCAGAAGAAGCACCGGCUAACUACGUG
RNAcentral lists this ribosomal RNA (468 nucleotides) under uncultured bacterium. Its description in RNAcentral is "partial 16S ribosomal RNA". It matches the Rfam family "Bacterial small subunit ribosomal RNA", at positions 28 to 507 of the family's 1533-position model. The record is from RNAcentral.